RNAcentral lists this ribosomal RNA (446 nucleotides) under uncultured bacterium. RNAcentral's name for it is "partial 16S ribosomal RNA". It matches the Rfam family "Bacterial small subunit ribosomal RNA", at positions 338 to 795 of the family's 1533-position model. The record is from RNAcentral.
CCUACGGGAGGCAGCAGUCGAGAAUCAUUCACAAUGGGGGAAACCCUGAUGGUGCGACGCCGCGUGGGGGAAUGAAGGUCUUCGGAUUGUAAACCCCUGUCAUGUGGGAGCAAAUUAAAAAGAUAGUACCCCAAGAGGAAGAGACGGCUAACUCUGUGCCAGCAGCCGCGGUAAUACGGAGGUCGCAAGCGUUGUUCGGAAUCACUGGGCGUAAAGCGUGCGUAGGCUGUUUCGUAAGUCGUGUGUGAAAGGCGCGGGCUCAACCCGCGGACGGCACAUGAUACUGCGAGACUAGAGUAAUGGAGGGGGAACCGGAAUUCUCGGUGUAGCAGUGAAAUGCGUAGAUAUCGAGAGGAACACUCGUGGCGAAGGCGGGUUCCUGGACAUUAACUGACGCUGAGGCACGAAGGCCAGGGGAGCGAAAGGGAUUAGAUACCCCAGUAGUC